CAGUCGCCGCGGUAACACGUAGGGUGCAAGCGUUAAUCGGAAUUACUGGGCGUAAAGCGUGCGCAGGCGGUUAUAUAAGACAGAUGUGAAAUCCCCGGGCUCAACCUGGGAACUGCAUUUGUGACUGUAUAGCUAGAGUACGGCAGAGGGGGAUGGAAUUCCGCGUGUAGCGGUGAAAUGCGUAGAUAUGCGGAGGAACACCGAUGGCGAAGGCAAUCCCCUGGGCCUGUACUGACGCUCAUGCACGAAAGCGUGGGGAGCAAACAGGAUUAGAUACCCGCGUAGUCCCUGUCUCUUAUAC
RNAcentral lists this ribosomal RNA (301 nucleotides) under uncultured bacterium. Its description in RNAcentral is "partial 16S ribosomal RNA". It matches the Rfam family "Bacterial small subunit ribosomal RNA", at positions 509 to 807 of the family's 1533-position model. The record is from RNAcentral.